This is a long non-coding RNA of Xenia sp. Carnegie-2017, 714 nucleotides long. RefSeq lists it as uncharacterized. The record is from RefSeq and is a predicted model, not a curated record. NCBI's taxonomy places the organism in Eukaryota, Metazoa, Cnidaria, Anthozoa, Malacalcyonacea, Xeniidae. The transcript has 3 exons.
GCAGAGUAAAUGGGGCAGAUCUUACAACUAGGUUUUGCCGAUAUACCAAGUGUAAGCCCAGACAACAACAAGCGCGUUUUAUACACUGAACAUUUCGUGCAAUAGAAAUAUUUCAUUUUCCCAUAUUACAAACCUGUGACCAACAAAUGAGUUAUACGUUUAAUUUAUUAUUUGUACACAUAAGAGUCUUUGAAAGAUUAUGUAGUUUUAUAUAGGUGAUAAGCUCUAAGCCGCUAUGUUUUGUUCUUGACCGUAGAGUUUCGUUUAUCCGUAAUGUUUUACGUGCGUGUUUGCGUGCACAAUGUACAAGUACCGACACACGUCUAUCUUUAACACACUUUCUGAGAGCAUAUUGUCCCUAAAUUCUUGGUGUGUUGUCAAGCAAUUUACUCCUUGAGUUUCUGUUUGGCCUAGCAAAGCCUCAUACUCAUCGUAUUCAAGCGCUUUUUCGUGGCAACAAAAACACUCGAUUGCCUUUUUUGACAAAGUACAAUGUCCACACUUAAACCAGUUUGAAGGCGCUAAGCAUUUGCUUUCUCAAAUUCGGCAUGUCUUUCAUCCUCCGACGAGGACAAGUCGCUCUGCUCACUCUCCUGUUCGGAACCGCUUUCUUCACUAGUUUCGGCCUUCACUUCAGGUUCAUAUUGAUAGGGCAGAACCUCACCCGGUUGAUUUUCGUGUAUGUCAUCCAUUACAGCAAAAAAACCCGUAAAA